This 446-nucleotide ribosomal RNA is filed under the name uncultured bacterium. RNAcentral describes it as "bacterial SSU rRNA". It matches the Rfam family "Bacterial small subunit ribosomal RNA", at positions 64 to 518 of the family's 1533-position model. The record is from RNAcentral.
AUACGGACCGGAGAUUCGUCGAAGGAUCGUAUGACUAGUGGCGGACGGGUGAGUAAUGUAUGAGCAACCUGCCUUUCAGAGGGGGACAACAGUUGGAAACGACUGCUAAUACCGCGUAACGUAUCGUGGGGGCAUCCUCGUGAUACCAAAGGAGCAAUCCGCUGAAAGAUGGGCUCAUAUCUGAUUAGCUGUUGGCGGGGUAACGGCCCACCAAGGCGACGAUCAGUAGCCGGACUGAGAGGUUGAACGGCCACAUUGGGACUGAGAUACGGCCCAGACUCCUACGGGAGGCAGCAGUGGGGAAUAUUGGGCAAUGGGCGAAAGCCUGACCCAGCAACGCCGCGUGAAGGAAGAAGGUCUUCGGAUUGUAAACUUCUUUUAUGAGGGACGAAGGACGUGACGGUACCUCAUGAAUAAGCCACGGCUAACUACGUGCCAGCCGCCGC